AUUGAACGCUGGCGGCAUGCCUUACACAUGCAAGUCGAACGGCAGCACGGGUGCUUGCACCUGGGGGCGAGUGGCGAACGGGUGAGUAAUACAUCGGAACAUGUCCUGUAGUGGGGGAUAGCCCUGCGAAAGCCGGAGUAAUACCGCAUACGAUCUACGGAUGACAGCGGGGGACCUUCGGGCCUCGCGCUAUAGGGUUGGCCGAUGGCUGAUUAGCUAGUUGGGGGGGUAAAGGCCUACCAAGGCGACGAUCAGUAGCUGGUCUGAGAGGACGAGCAGCCACACUGGAACUGAGACACGGCCCAGACUCCUACGGGAGGCAGCAGUGGGGAAUUUUGGACAAUGGGCGAAAGCCUGAUCCAGCAAUGCCGCGUGUGUGAAGAAGGCCUUCGGGUUGUAAAGCACUUUUGUCCGGAAAGAAAUCCUUGGCCCUAAUACGGUCGGGGGAUGACGGUAACGGAAGAAUAAGCACCGGCUAACUACGUG
RNAcentral lists this ribosomal RNA (486 nucleotides) under uncultured bacterium. RNAcentral describes it as "partial 16S ribosomal RNA". It matches the Rfam family "Bacterial small subunit ribosomal RNA", at positions 29 to 507 of the family's 1533-position model. The record is from RNAcentral.